GGUUGGGUUUAAAUGGAUGUACAACCACGACGGAGUGUACACAUAGUAAAACAUGUAUGCCUCUUGCAGUCGUACAUGUUGAGUGUGUGAUCUCAGCGUAUCCUGAAGCAUUAAGAACAGAGCUGGGAGAAGAGCGCAGUGUGAGUAAAACUCUUCUGGUGUGUAUAUUGUUUUUGAAAUGUAGGUGUUGGUUUUAUUUUGGUGUUAUAAAUAACAUGACAUUUGUGUGUGAUCUAUUACUCGGCAAAACUAAUUAGUUUUGAUUUGAUUUCUGAGGACUUUAUAUAUUAAACUGCCUCUUCAUUAUGGCUGUUUACUGGUGAGUCACAAAAAGUCACUUUAAUUAAAGAUGAAGUGCAACCGCUUUCAUGGCUUUUCAUACCAGUUCAAGGAAUUGGCCAAGGGCACUUGUUUACUGUUUUUAAUUUCGUACUUAUACAGCUGAAAACUUCGUUUCUUCUGCAUGACUCAGGAAUUUUUUAUUUAUUUGAACCCACAAACUCCACCAAGCUGCCUGAGCAAAUUUAAACUUCAGCUGAAAGUGUCAUUUUAAAGGCCAAACCUUAUCUUGAAACGGGAAUGUUUGUUUUUCCUCAAUGUAAUACAUUUUUAGCUGCUAUUUCUGAACUGCGGCGGUUUCUCUCGGUUAAAAUGAGCUUUAUCUGUAGUUGGAAAGGGUGGUUGUGCUUCGUCAGUAAGGACUUUUCAUUGAGUGUUUGACUGUAGUUCAAGCUGUGCUAAAAAUAUAUAAAAAGGCUGCACACCUCAAACUCCAUGCCAAGGAGAACAAAACACUCAUUCCUCUGGUUUAUUUGGCUCACAUCACAAUAAAUGAUCAUCUAGCACAAGGUCUUUGCUGAAAUGCACCAAGUUCUAUUCAGUAAGAUACACGAGAGCAGAGCCUCAACACAAACACAGAGACGCUGGUUCCAAUUAUUUAGGAAUCAAUCAUCCAUCUCAUCCCAUGGCUCGAGCCUCAGGUGCUUCUGUAGAUAAUUGUAAAGUUUACUGAACAGCGCUUUGUCUUUCUCAAAAGUUCUGCCUAUGGAGGUGUUUGCAGGAAAGCAGCCUGAGUUUGUCAUGGUCUCAUUUUAGACAGUAAUGACAUCGCUGAUUUUAUAAUAACAGGACAAUAAUAAUAAUAAUAACAAUAACUGUUAACAGGAGUCAGAGGAUUUUUAAAGAGAAUAUAGUGUAUAACUGAAUGAACAGUUUUAUGUAAAUGAACCUAAAUGCCAGCAGUAAGAAAAUUUAAUAAAACUCUGACAGAGGUUGGACACAAGCCCAGAUCUGGUUCCCUGCAACUAUUUACUCUGUUCUCUAAUAAUCUGUACUUUUGAAUGAAUGGAUGGCAUUUAUGCAUUUAUUCACGGACUAACCAGCUUGCAGUUCUUUGCCUAGUGCUAGGUAGCUAACUUUAACAUCUGCUUUAAUGUGAGCAAAAAAUUACACCAAGUAUGCAGCCUGUAUUAAAACGUUUCAUUUAACAUCUAAUUUCAACUUAUUUUCAUGGCUCAAUGCACAUUUUUAUCUCCACAUUUGCAGGUCACGUUAACUAGCUAAGUAGCUAGAAUCAACAUCAGAGUCAACCUUAUAUUGCAAGAAAAUGUGCACAUCAGGCAAUCUGACUCUGAUAAACGUUGCUCUCUAUGCACAGACAAUUAUCAUAAAAUAUUAUGCAAAUAUGUAUUUAUAUAUUUUAAACUUUAUUUUUUUCCCAACAAUAUACAGAAACACAAAAAAACACAAGAACAAGAGGGGGCAUACACUACUUUGUAACAUAAAAAUGCCAUUUUGUCCGUCUUACAGCAUACAGUCCUGUUUUAAUUCUAAGACUGUCGGUCAUUUGUCCCAUAGAUUGAAUUUCUUCUACAAUGUCCAGCCAGAGGUUCAGUCCAGGUAGUUCAAUUCUCAGCCAACUUCUAGUAAUGGCCUUCUUAGCUGCAAGAGAUAGGAUCUUGAACAGGUAUAUGUCUUUUUACUUAUUACAUUGUCUGGUAUCAGUUCCAGAUAAAUAAACCCAGGAUCCUCAGGAAAAUUAUAUCCAAUAAUUUCACCCAUAGCUCUUAAAACUUCCUCCCAAAAUGACUGUGUUUUCAUACAUCAUGCAAAUAUUUAAAAGCCAAUAUUGGACAUUUAACUUGUUUAUAAAAGAUUCUGAAAGACAACGCUGCAAUGAGAAGAAGUACAAUGGAGGCUGAAUGGAUAUACACAGAGUUUUGUUACAGACCGGUUUGUUUACAUGAGGUAGAUGUAUUUAUGGUUUUAUUUCUGUAGUCCUGUAACAACUAACCUACUGGUAACUUCACUCAUGAUAACUUUUAUUCCAAAUAAAUUUUUGCUGAGACUUGAAUGAGCACUGUGUGUGUGACUUUUUUUGCCAAAUAACUUUCCUGGAUGUGACUUCAGAGUGAAAACAUUGUGUGAGAACAAGGAGAGUCUUUCCACAGAAGGAACAGAUCAGGCUUUUACUUUCAAAAGUGGCCAGGUAUUCCCUUCAUAGUAUAUGUUACAUGCUAGUGACAUAAAUAUAGCUGAUACAGAGCAAAUUCAGCCUAAAGCCCCAUCAUUUUUCUGCAUAUUUUGGAUGAGAUACACAAAUUGCCAGUGGUCCCAGUGGUCUGAAGGUUUCGAUCUAUUAACAUGCAUGCAAACGUAGAAAUCAAGCCGUCAUGCAUCCAGGCUUAAGCUGCCAUAAAGCAACUCUAAAGCACUAUUGUGACUGAAAACAAACAUUACCACAGACAGUUUUCAAUGCAGCAGUAACAUUCAGCUUUGAUUUCAGCGAAGAAAACCACCAAAUACUAAACUAAGAACAUCUUAUCAGAGAUUACAUAAUAUGAUAUUGAUUUAUUGUUCAGUCUGAAUACACCGUGCCUGAAAAACAUUUUCGCUUCCUUGUUUUGACUCUUUUUAUGUGCCGUGUUUACUUAACACUUACACCUUCUGUCCCCUUUAGAUCUUUUACCCAUGAAGACUAAAAACAAAACUGCUAGACAAGACAGACACCAAACAAUCUCAAGACAAAUGACAGUCCAUCACAGAAGAAAAAGUGACAGUGAGACAGGCAAAGAACAGAAGAAAAAAAAACAGGAAGAAGAGUAAUAGUGGUCCUUUGAGCAGAAGAAACACGUGGUAAAGCUGUCAUGACACACCAGACGGAGACAGAGCAGACAAAGCUCAGAAGAGUACAGAGUGGAAAGACUGGCAUUAAAACCCUUCACACGUCACCACAAAUUAUGGCUUCACACAACAAGACGGGGGAAAUGGAAACCC
This is a non-coding RNA of Xyrichtys novacula (pearly razorfish), 3276 nucleotides long. The record is from the annotation of a GenBank genome assembly. NCBI's taxonomy places the organism in Eukaryota, Metazoa, Chordata, Actinopteri, Labriformes, Labridae.